GACGAACGCUGGCGGCGUGCCUAAUACAUGCAAGUCGAACGAACUCUGGUAUUGAUUGGUGCUUGCAUCAUGAUUUACAUUUGAGUGAGUGGCGAACUGGUGAGUAACACGUGGGAAACCUGCCCAGAAGCGGGGGAUAACACCUGGAAACAGAUGCUAAUACCGCAUAACAACUUGGACCGCAUGGUCCGAGUUUGAAAGAUGGCUUCGGCUAUCACUUUUGGAUGGUCCCGCGGCGUAUUAGCUAGAUGGUGGGGUAACGGCUCACCAUGGCAAUGAUACGUAGCCGACCUGAGAGGGUAAUCGGCCACAUUGGGACUGAGACACGGCCCAAACUCCUACGGGAGGCAGCAGUAGGGAAUCUUCCACAAUGGACGAAAGUCUGAUGGAGCAACGCCGCGUGAGUGAAGAAGGGUUUCGGCUCGUAAAACUCUGUUGUUAAAGAAGAACAUAUCUGAGAGUAACUGUUCAGGUAUUGACGGUAUUUAACCAGAAAGCCACGGCUAACUACGUGCCAGCAGCCGCGGUAAUACGUAGGUGGCAAGCGUUGUCCGGAUUUAUUGGGCGUAAAGCGAGCGCAGGCGGUUUUUUAAGUCUGAUGUGAAAGCCUUCGGCUCAACCGAAGAAGUGCAUCGGAAACUGGGAAACUUGAGUGCAGAAGAGGACAGUGGAACUCCAUGUGUAGCGGUGAAAUGCGUAGAUAUAUGGAAGAACACCAGUGGCGAAGGCGGCUGUCUGGUCUGUAACUGACGCUGAGGCUCGAAAGUAUGGGUAGCAAACAGGAUUAGAUACCCUGGUAGUCCAUACCGUAAACGAUGAAUGCUAAGUGUUGGAGGGUUUCCGCCCUUCAGUGCUGCAGCUAACGCAUUAAGCAUUCCGCCUGGGGAGUACGGCCGCAAGGCUGAAACUCAAAGGAAUUGACGGGGGCCCGCACAAGCGGUGGAGCAUGUGGUUUAAUUCGAAGCUACGCGAAGAACCUUACCAGGUCUUGACAUACUAUGCAAAUCUAAGAGAUUAGACGUUCCCUUCGGGGACAUGGAUACAGGUGGUGCAUGGUUGUCGUCAGCUCGUGUCGUGAGAUGUUGGGUUAAGUCCCGCAACGAGCGCAACCCUUAUUAUCAGUUGCCAGCAUUAAGUUGGGCACUCUGGUGAGACUGCCGGUGACAAACCGGAGGAAGGUGGGGAUGACGUCAAAUCAUCAUGCCCCUUAUGACCUGGGCUACACACGUGCUACAAUGGAUGGUACAACGAGUUGCGAACUCGCGAGAGUAAGCUAAUCUCUUAAAGCCAUUCUCAGUUCGGAUUGUAGGCUGCAACUCGCCUACAUGAAGUCGGAAUCGCUAGUAAUCGCGGAUCAGCAUGCCGCGGUGAAUACGUUCCCGGGCCUUGUACACACCGCCCGUCACACCAUGAGAGUUUGUAACACCCAAAGUCGGUGGGGUAACCUUUUAGGAACCAGCCGCCUAAGGUGGGACAGAUGAUUAGGGUGAAGUCGUAACAAGGUAGCCGUAG
This 1512-nucleotide ribosomal RNA is filed under the name Lactiplantibacillus pentosus. RNAcentral describes it as "bacterial SSU rRNA". It matches the Rfam family "Bacterial small subunit ribosomal RNA". Lineage: Bacteria; Bacillati; Bacillota; Bacilli; Lactobacillales; Lactobacillaceae. The record is from RNAcentral.